AGUCUUUGGGGCAGGGUGCAAUUCCUUACCGGCGGUAUAGCCCGCGAGCCUUACGGGGCAUGACCUGGUGCGACUCCAGGGCCGACAGUAUAGUCUGGAUGAGAAAAGAC
RNAcentral lists this non-coding RNA (110 nucleotides) under uncultured Anaerovibrio sp. Its description in RNAcentral is "FMN riboswitch (RFN element)". It matches the Rfam family "FMN riboswitch aptamer (RFN element)". Rfam says of the family: The RFN element is a highly conserved domain that is found frequently in the 5'-untranslated regions of prokaryotic mRNAs that encode for flavin mononucleotide (FMN) biosynthesis and transport proteins. The record is from RNAcentral. Lineage: Bacteria; Bacillati; Bacillota; Negativicutes; Selenomonadales; Selenomonadaceae.